AUUGAACGCUGGCGGCAUGCUUUACACAUGCAAGUCGAACGGUAACAGGUUAAGCUGACGAGUGGCGAACGGGUGAGUAAUGCAUCGGAACGUGCCCGAUCGUGGGGGAUAACGCAGCGAAAGCUGCGCUAAUACCGCAUACGAUCUGAGGAUGAAAGCGGGGGACCGUAAGGCCUCGCGCGAUCGGAGCGGCCGAUGUCAGAUUAGGUAGUUGGUGGGGUAAAGGCUCACCAAGCCGACGAUCUGUAGCUGGUCUGAGAGGACGACCAGCCACACUGGGACGGAGACACGGCCCAGACCCCUACGGGAGGCAGCAGUGGGGAAUUUUGGACGAUGGGCGAAAGCCUGAUCCAGCCAUUCCGCGUGCAGGAUGAAGGCCCUCGGGUUGUAAACUGCUCUUGUACAGAACGAAAAGGUUUCUACUAAUACUAGGAGCUCAUGACGGUACUGUAAGAAUAAGCACCGGCUAACUACGUGCCAGCCGCCGCCGUAA
RNAcentral lists this ribosomal RNA (493 nucleotides) under uncultured bacterium. RNAcentral describes it as "partial 16S ribosomal RNA". It matches the Rfam family "Bacterial small subunit ribosomal RNA", at positions 30 to 523 of the family's 1533-position model. The record is from RNAcentral.